RNAcentral lists this long non-coding RNA (2369 nucleotides) under Sus scrofa (pig). Its description in RNAcentral is "lncRNA (ENSSSCG00040036812.1)". Lineage: Eukaryota; Metazoa; Chordata; Mammalia; Artiodactyla; Suidae. The record is from RNAcentral.
AUGGAUGGGCUUCCCGGAGGAGGUGGCACUCGCAGUACCAAGAACACGGCAGUGUUGCCCAAUGGAGAGAAGGACACAGGGCAUUGCAGGCUGUUGAGAAUGGCCCAGCUCACCGUCAUCACUGCUGAGGCAGCAUCAGAGAGGAUGAAAUGGAGAAAAAGUGAAAUCUCAAAAAGUAUCCUCAGACCUCCAGGGACUAAGCCACUCAGAAAACUGGCUCUUCAGCAAAGUGAUCUAGGGCUAAGCGGGAUGCUGCCAUCUCUUCUGCAGCUCAGACCUGGAUCCCCACCACGAAGGCCAGUCUGUUGGUGGGUCAACACGUGCUUGGAACCAUCCCCAGUCUCCUCUGAAACAACUUUCUAAAUCCCCUCAAUAACCCCAAGAAGCAGGUGCUAUUUACCACCCCUGCUGCCCAAGUGGGAAAACUGACGUUCCCCAAGGUCACCUCCCUAGGUCACCCAGUUUAUAAGCGGCAGAGCUGGGUAACAAAUCCAGGGGGAGAGAGCCUGCCCCUCGACCCCCUCCCCCUCCUGGAGGCACCACUCUUUACCCUCCAAUCACGACACAUGUUGGGCACCCCCGCCCCCACUUCACAGGUGUGCCCACAACCCUGUACACACACCACCACACACUCAUGGGAGGUUUGCAUCUUCAAACAGGACCCUGUGGAGAGGACAACUGUUGGCCUGUAGAAGUGAGUAUGGAAGUAGAGACACUUCCAUGUCUGAGGGCCUUCCAGCCCCAUGGAUGAGCACCACGCUGCAGAAGUUAUCAGCCAUGAGUCACAGGAGGGGAAGUGAAUCCUGAAUUAAUCAUUGUUGACUAUGGUCCUGCCUCUGCAUCUUUGACCCCUGAUGGGAUAAACCUGCUUCCUCUUAGCUUUUCAUGUGUCCUGGACACUGCACAGCCUAGACAUGACCAGAGAAACCUGUCAGAAACUGGAACCAGAAGAGCAAUUUGAAGGGAGGGCAGGAGAGAGCCCCGUGGAUACAGUGGCAGCGUUUCCCCAGGGUCACGGCAGUGCACCUGCCCUGCUUCCCCAGGCUUACUUGUGACGACAAAGCAUGUCUGGCUGGGGGUGUUUAUAUUGGUCUUUGCAAAAAUGUUGAAGAGCAUCCAUCACCAGUCUGACAUGGAUGAUGUAAUAAAGUUUCAUGACAGAUGUUUGCCAUGAUUUUUUGAAAUAGUAGAUGAAGCUGGAGCUGAUAAUGCUGAUGCCCAAACCUUGGAACCAAUGCUGGCCUCCUGACAACUGAAGAUAAUGUGUCUGUGAGAAUAACGGCCGUUAUUUAUUGUCAGCUGACUCUCUGGGUGCCCCGGGGUCUGUGUCCUAAACACAUCACACACAUCCUGCUUUCAGCCUCCCUUAAGGUAGGUGCUGGCAUUAGCCCCUAUUUUGCAGACGGGGACUCUGAGGCACCAAAUACUAAGGGACGAAGAUAAUUACCUUCUUCAAGGCUGUAUUCAUCAGUGUCAGUAGUGGAAGAAGUUCCCAGAUUCCUUUCCUGGGCUGCAUGUUCAUCCCCCAGUCACGGCAGUGUUUGCCUCAUUAGUAAUUAAAGCCUGCCUCAUUCUCGGGAGCAUCUCCUGGGCCAAACUAAAGCCACUUCACCUGGGAGUUUGCACCUCCUGGGGGAUGGGAGAGUCUGUCUAUGACUCACUGAUGGGGUCCAGAAGGCUGGUCCCCUGCCUCAAAUUGGGAUCCACUCUGUGUUACAGAGCUCAGCUCUCCCUGUGGGACUGGGCUCCACAGAGACCCCUCUUCACUCAGCUUUUCCUCCGGCCCCACCCAGAGCCUCUCCCUCCCUCCCUUCUCCUGGGAGCCCUCCCUCAGGAAAGUAUUUAUACAAGAACCCCCACCUCAGGUACUCUUUUCAGGAAACCUGACUAAAGCAAUGGCUGAGCCCCAGAUAAUAGACGCACCGUGGCAUUUCGCUAAGGGCCCUACCAGGGCUGACAUUCAGCCCAAACUCUGUGCGCCAAGAUAUGAAAAGGGUGGGGGAGGGGGGCGCUUUUCCUCAUUUGCCCAAAGUCACUGACUUUGCUGGAAUUUAAAACCCAGGAGCUCUGGCUUCAGAACCUCCCCCCAUCUCUCAGUCACAGGCUGAUGCUGCCCUCAUGCUAGAAUAAUACAAAGUCUAAAGUGGGGGGGGUGAGUGCCAGCCAGAAGGUGCCCUUGUGACCACCGCCCUCAGCAAUCACAAACUUAUUGAAUAGUCUGUUCAAAGAACCAUGUUUCUGACCACCUCUGAUACUUCACACCCCCUAUAGCCCCCACACACAAUGACAGGUCCCCUGUGACCUCAACACCACCUCCAAGUCAGGGUGUUAAUGCGGAUACAUCACUGCCCUCCAACCUCAGGGCCCCC